ACUCAAAGGAAUUGACGGGGGCCCGCACAAGCGGUGGAGUAUGUGGUUUAAUUCGACGCAACGCGAAGAACCUUACCCAGCCUUGACUUCUCUGGAACCUGGUGGAAACACUGGGGUGUCCUCGCAAGAGGAAGCCAGAAGACAGGUGCUGCAUGGCUGUCGUCAGCUCGUGUCGUGAGAUGUUCGGUUAAGUCCGGCAACGAGCGCAACCCCUGCUUCCAGUUGCCAUCAUUCAGUUGGGAACUCUGGAGGAACUGCCGGCGCCAAGCCGGAGGAAGGUGGGGACGACGUCAAGUCAUCAUGGCCUUUAUGGCUGGGGCUACACACGUACUACAAUGGCAUCUACAGAGGGCUGCGAAGCGGCGACGUGAAGCAAAUCCCAAAAAAGGUGCCUCAGUUCGGAUCGCAGUCUGCAACUCGACUGCGUGAAGUUGGAAUCGCUAGUAAUCGCGGAUCAGAAUGCCGCGGUGAAUACGUUCCCGGGCCUUGUACACACCGCCCGU
RNAcentral lists this ribosomal RNA (503 nucleotides) under uncultured bacterium. RNAcentral describes it as "partial 16S ribosomal RNA". It matches the Rfam family "Bacterial small subunit ribosomal RNA", at positions 899 to 1397 of the family's 1533-position model. The record is from RNAcentral.